UUUUAUCAUGUGCAUGCUCAGUGAGAAUUUGACUUGCUAGAACACAAGUUUGACUCUUCAUUUAAAUGUCUCUUGUAUCAUAUCCUUCAAUGUUGAGUGUGAUUCCAAUAAAAUUGAGUAGGGAGAUCCUUAAAUACCUUUUCCUUUUUUCCAAGGGCCUGCCAAAUUGCUCUAAGUGGUUCUACCCUUUAUCAAUGAAUAAUGAAAAUAAAAUUUUUAUUAAAGCAUUCUGUUCCUUAAAUGGUGACUAAUAGUACCCCCUUUUUUUUUGGAGAGGAAAGCCAAACGCCCAAAGAGGAUCAUUUACUUUCCUCUAAUGUAUUUUCUAAUUCGUUUUGAGCCUUGAAUGUCUGUUUUGGUGCGUAUUCUCAUUCCAUGUCGAAUCUUAUCCAUAUGGACAACCCCACUUACAAAAAAGUCUAAUGAAUCUAUUGAAGUUCAUAUGAGGUUUGUGCUUUAGAUUUAGACCUCUCUCUCUCUCUCUCUCCACUUACAUGUCUUUCACUUACCUGUUUGCAUGCAUGCCCAUGCACACACUUUCAAGAUAAUACACGGUCACUCGUACUUGUGUUUUGGUUGAAUUACUGGCUGCUAACCUCUGUAAUUCAGUUUGAAACUUGCCACCCUUAGUGCUUCACUCAAAUGGUUGGUUAGGGUGAGAUCUGUAUCGUUUUCCUGGUCUCUUUCCAAGGUUAUCUAAAGGGAUUUGGCAGUCUGAUUCUUUAGGGAAUAUCAUUGCAUAAGAUAUCUAUUGUUUGUUAAUGAAUAAUUUCUAUUUAACUAGUUAUCUAUAUAAAUUGGUAAAUUUUAACUGCAUAAUUUGCAUGCAAUAAGAUUUUAUAAGAAUCUUGUUUUCAACUCAUGACUUAGACUAAUGUGAUACGUUGAGCAUUAAGCUACAAGAUCUGCACAUCAAAGUGCUUCACCAUGUUAAGGAGAAAGCAUCGUUUUCUGCUUCUUCAUGUGAUUUAAAGUUUCCAAGGUACUUAUCCAAUAAAAUGUCUUUCAAGACUUUGGAAAUGCUUUUAUGUAUGACUGAGAGAAACUUGUUGGGUUGGUUUUUAGCAACAGACGGAGUUAUGGACUUUGUGUUGACUUGUUAUUGAUUAAGACAGUACAUCGGCUGAUCUAUUGGCAUCAAGCAGCAGAUGCAGAAAUUAUGGGUGGCAUACCAUUGUAUCCAAAUAACAUACUACAUUGAUUUUUCUGACUUUCUGUUGGUCUCCGAGUGAAAUGCAGGCAUUUGCAGAUGAACUGGGGAUUCCUUUCCUGGAGACGAGUGCCAAAGAUGCAAUCAAUGUGGAGCAGGCUUUCUUGACCAUGGCCGGCGAGAUUAAGAAAAAGUAAAAUCACUUAACUCUUUCCUUCUUUCCGACUGUUCUUAUUCAACAAUCACCAUUAUUGCUGGUUAUGUGCAUUGUGAUGAAAAUUCUGCAAUGAAUAACUUUUUACCUAAUGUUUUCUGUUGGAACAAAUUACUCUGGUAGAAAAGCCCUACAGGGUUUGAGAAAUCCCAUGAUGUGAUGAUUGUGAGCAUUUUAGACACCGUGUAUGGGUUUAUUUUGUGACUAUAAAAUGUUAAGAUAUUUCUAGUUUUGGUUUGUAGUGCAUAAAAGGAUUCAAAAUUUGACAUCUGUCUAAAUCAGAUUACUAACAUGACAAUGUACAUAUGCAAGAUGUGAGGAAUUGUUUUAUCUCACCCCUAAACUUUAAGAAAUUGAAACAUUAUUAUUCAAAAUAUUUAACAUUUCCAGAAUUGAUAGUUGUCUAUUUGAGCAGUGACUGGUGGUUAUCAUGAACUGAUGUGUGGUUGUGGUUUCAAAUCUUGGUGAAACCUGUUGUCAUAUGCUGAUUAACAUAGCUAGUCUCUGAAACAAUUUGUUGAUUCACUAAUUAUGAGUUCAAAUUUGAUGCAGAAUGGGCAACCAGCCUACUGCAAACAAAUCUUCUGGAACAGUUCAGAUGAAGGGAUAGCCAAUCCAGCAAAACAGCAACCGCUGUGGUUAGCCGAGCAUCUUAUUUUACUUCUACAUGUUAGCUGACUGAUUGUAGACAGUUUUAACUAUGUUGACUGCAUUAUCUUAUGAAUCUUUUAAUCUGUCAAAUAUUUAUUUCCUGCUUUAAGUUCUUUCCCGUUUAUAACAAAUUUGAUUUCUUGCUCUAUAGCAUUCCAAAUUCCUGUUAAUUUACGAGGGAAAAAGAAAAGAGACGAAAUGGGAGAAAAUGGUCAAAUUUGUUAGGGGGGGAGAGCUGUUGAAGUAGUUUUUGUUCUCGUUUAUCAUCGUGACCCUCUUGUCGCUUAUCUACGACCUGGAAGUCCGGUCAUAUCGGAUGGGUAAAGUUACCGAAACGGCAUCAUUUUGGGUGAAAUAUCAUGUUUAUGUAACACUUUUGAUAAUAUUUUUAUGCAACAAAAAAAUGUUUGCAGUACCCUUCUCACAUUGUGAAGCGCAUGAUCGGAUGAGAGCAGUCUGGAUUCUGGCAUCACAAGCUAAUGCUUUGAUUUGCUUAGUUUGUUUUUUGUUUCUGAUAUUUUCUCGGCAUAGUGUAAAUGUAUGAAGAUGAAAUUGCUGGGUUGGUUUUGUUAUGGAAUUUGGUUUAGUUCACUAACCAUUAAUGCGCAAAACCUCCUAAGACCCUAAAAAAUCCCGUACAUAAUUAAAGAAUUUCAAUUUUAUAUGUACAUAAAUAAAUAACUCUCAAAUAUAUUAUUUGAUAAUCCCAAAAACAACAACUCACUCUAAUAAAUCUCGUAGUCAAUACAUGGUCUAUAUUGCAAGUGUUUUCGAGACUAAUUCAAAAAGAAAAUACGAAGGAUAUAUAAUUGACUUUUACUUGUUAUAAAGAACUCUAAAUAAAUUUAUAUACGCAUCACAGCUAAUUACAGUCUUGGUACUUCAUUAGGUUUUUGUUAAUUUUCUAUACAGUUGUGUUGUGCAUUAAAGCUUUGUUAAAUGAAAUCGGUAGUGAGAAUUAAUUAAUUAAUUAAUUAAUUAAGAUCCAGUUAAUGUAAUUAAUUUUAUUUGAUUUUUUUAAUUCGAGUUCUAAAUUAAUCAAUUAAUUUAGAUUCAUGUGAAAUUGAAGUGAAUUAGUUUCGAACUGUUUUUCAUUCUAUGUUUGUCUGUGUUUACUCUUACUGUUUUUUUUGUUUAAACUUUUGUUUUCUUAUUGUUUACUGAAUAAAUUUCUGAGCUUUGUUUGAGUAUGAUGAUUGAUUUGUGAUUUUAAUCUAAUGUGUUGGGCUGCGAUUUAAUUGAGUGAUGUGUGAGCGCCAAAUUGUGAGCGCCAAGUAGUAAUUAUAAAAUAUUUCAGUCGUCCACUGUUCAGUCACCAAAAACCAAUUUCUAAUCUAUUUCAAAACAAUUUUUGCCAAAGUCCUCCUGGGCUAAUUAAUUCAUACAUUAAUACAGUCCUCCUCUGCUGAAUAAUGCAAACCCGUUACGUUAUUCUACCAUUUCUUAAAUUUAAAGCAUUCCACCAUUUAAUAAAAAAAUUCGAAAACCCAUUAUAUACAAUACAAAAAGCCCACCGACACCAAACCAUAUUAAUUUAAAAUAGUUUUCAAUUGAGAUUUGAAUUUUAAAAUUACAUACACAAACACACCCGAUUUUAAAAAAUAAUAAUAAUCCUAACAAUAAAAUAUUUCAGCCGUCCUCUGUUCAGUCACCGAAAACGGAUUUCCAAUCUAUUAGAACAACCGGUAUAUGGGUUUCCAACCAAUAUUGUCCUCCAUCCUUUCUGCACUUCUCUUCUAUCAACGGACAGCCCACGAUGUAUAAUCGCAAAAGUGAGGAAGGCAGGCCCUUCUCCGGAAAGUAUUUGAGCUUGGGACAAUCCGCGAGAUACAAUUCAGUGAGGUUUUGAAGAUCAACAAUUGAAGAAGAUAGGCGUUCCAGAUUUGGAAAAUUAGAAAUCCCCAGAGAUGUUAGAGAGGCAGGAAGAGGAAGCGUGGUCCCUAAUCUUUUGUCCUCUAGUGGAAAUGACACCAUGUCGUCAUCGCAUCUGCUGAUUGUAAGACGUCGCAGAGAGGAGAAUCUGUGAAAUCCCCGUCCCCGCUCAAUCAUUGACUUCCAAAUCUCCAUAUUACCCCAAAUAUUAAGUGACUGAAGGUUGGUGGGAAGGUCAUCUUCUUCUUCAAGGCUUGGAAGCGCACCUCCUAUUCCUAUUGUUAAUUGUUGAAGAGAGGUCAGAUUGUGCAAUCCCUUGGGUAAGGCCUCUAGUCUCUUACAAUUAGAUAUCGCCAGCGUCCUGAGUUUCGCACAAGGCAAUCCCCCUUCGGGAAAGGACACCAGAUUUUUACAACUAUCUAUACUGAUUGUUUCAAGAGAUGUGUUGUUGUCCAACCUUUCUGCUAUUGACUCCAGCUUUGAACAUCCACCAACACGAAUGGACUUAAGAGACGGAGGUAGAUUGCCAACUUCAAGGGACUCAAGCGUGGCAGGUAACUCGUUUUUUGAAAAUAUACACGUCAGAGAAUCACAACAGUAAAUAUGCAAUUCCUCAAGAAAAGAUGAGGUGUACCUUCUGCCGCUGCUACACUGGAUGCCCUCUUCCACUGUCAAAGUCCUUAUAUUAUCGCAACGGCAGAUCUGCAACUUCUUAAGGCUCGAUGGUAGCUGGACAGCAGCAAUAUAUGUCAACGAACGGCAACCCUCAAUAUUCAAGAUCUCGAGAGACGAAUUGGUGUCGCACAUCCAUGCCUCUGGUAACGAUUUCAGUGCAUCACAAUACCUAAUCUCAAUUUUCCUCAACUUGGAAGGCAGAGCAACCUCAGGAAAGGAAACAAGGGAAUGACAAUCGCAGAUUUCUAUCUCUCUCAAGGAACUGAGGCUGAGCGAUGAUUGUGGCAGCUUCACAAGGCCUUUGCAUUCGCUCAAUCUUAGAUAUUCGAGUCUGCAUGACAACUCGCAGAGCUGCUGUUGUUGGUCUUUCUCUUCCUCCGCCACCAAGGAUUGAAUUUUGGGACACCGUCUAAUCGUCAGUCUUUUGAGAGAGCAAAUGUCUUGCAGUAAUUCGUUAUGACUCUUCCAUAUAUGUGUUUCAUUUUUCAUAUUAUUUAUCCCCAAUUCUUCCAGUUUUGGUAUUCGCGGCUUCAAUGGCUCUGUGAAAAACACUUGAUUUGAUGUAUCUCUACAAACCACUGAAUUCUGUGAGCCGAGAUGAUCAGUUGCACUUCUCCACACAACCUUUUUACAUCCACCAAUUUCAAAUUUGCAAAGAGCUGGAAGACUUGCAACUGAAACUAGCAAUUCUUCACAUCCUUCAAUUGCAAGCAUCUCCAAUGCAGGAAGGUGUUCUGGAAAUGUUCCUUGCAGCUUAGAACACCUUAUAAUAUGAAGCUCUCUCAAUUUAGGAAACCAUUCAACUCCCUGACCAGUUCUAAGAGGAAUCCAGUCUUCCCAUUCUUGCAUGUUUUCAAAACGAAGAGUUUCCAAGCAUGGAAAAGGAAUCGGGGAAUCAUUCCCAUAGAACUCUGAACCCAAACUCUUUACUCUACUCAUUCCACGCACUGCAAGAUGCUUUAGAGAGGGUAGUUGCCCGACUGACGGCAAGGUAGUACACACGCUGCAAUCUUCAAAAUUUAAGGUCGCUAAAUUUGAGAAUGAGGAAUCUCCCAACCAAGUUGGAAAUUGUUUACCUUCAUAGCCACUGAUACAAAAUUGUUCCAGAUUUUCAUGAGGUUUUAGCAUGACGAGCACAUCCUUUUCAGUUUCUGCCUCCCUUGAAGACAAACCAUUGGUACUCUGUGUCCAUUGAAACUUUAACACUUUAAGAUUCUUCUUUCCAUCCAAUUGAGCCUCCUUCGCAUCACCAAUGUCUUUUACGUUCUCCAAUUUUGAAAUGUUAAGUGUCCCACGAAGAUGCGUCAACAAUUUUAGCUCUCGUAUCCCGGAACCACUGUCUUUUCCCACAACAAAAUUACACAGCGUCUGAAGGAAAGUCAACUUACCAAUUCCUAGUGGCAUCUCCUCCAAUGAAUCUGUCUUUGAAUUAUCGAGAUGAUGCAAUUUGAUGAGGUUUCCCAUGUCUGCACACAACUUCUUCAGUCGCCGACAGCCCUCCAGCAGAAGAGUGUGCAAAUUGUAAAGCUUGUUGACUGAUUCAGGCAGAGUUCUAAUCUCAGUUAGAGAUAGGUUAAGGUACCUUAAAUACCUCAAAUCACCAAUUGAAUCCGGUAGCUCAGAGAUGUGAUAUCCACGCAAAGAGAAGACCCUCAACCGUUGGAGUUUGAACAACUUAGGAAGAAUGCUAUGAGCCAAGUAGCCGGGCCGGCUACUUAACAACGUUACUGGUAAAAGAGUUCGCAAAUGUUGGAUAUCGUACAACUCCUCAAACCUUUUAACACCAUCGUAAUCUCCACGAAUGUACGACAGAUGACGAAGAUUUCUUGGAAAACUUUGUUGCUUGUCAACCUCUGAGAUAUACUCCAUUCUGAAGUACAUUUCCCCAGCAGCCCAUUGAGCAAGAUCAUUGAUGAGGUCGUGCAUCACAAAUCGUGAUAUACUGUUGCUUGAUUGCUGGAAAAAAGAUCUUGAACGUAGCUCUUGAAAGAACUUUCGACCUAGAUCUUCACUGGGAUUCCCACUCUCUCCGUGAUCCAAGAAACCCGAAGCACACCAUAAUAAAAUUAUCUCCUCCUCUUCAAAUUCAUAAUCCUUUGGAAACAAUGAGCAGUAUGCAAAGCAUUGUUUCAAAGGUGCCGAAAGAUAAUAGUAGCUCACUCUAAGCGCCGGUAUAAUGUCACAUCUCUCUUCUGGUAAAUCCCAUAUCUUGCAACUGAGCACACCUUCCCAAUGACUCCGGUCAAGUUUACCACGCAAGAGACCACCAAGAGUUUUCGCAGCUAAGGGCAAGCCGUUGCAUUUGAUCACUAUCUUCUUGCCAAUUUCCUCCAAUGACUUGUUUGAACUGAUAUCUCUUGCCCCUAAAGAGUGUUGAGCGAACACAGACAGACAAUCAUCAUUUGACAGCUUUUUCAAAUGAUAAGCCCGAGCAGUCCCCAUGAUGGCUGCAACCUCUUGAUUACGAGCUGUGACAAUAAUCUUACUCCCCGGUGCGCCAGCUUCAAAUGGACGGCUCAUGUCAACCCAGUCAUUGUAAUUCUCAUUCCAAACAUCGUCUAAAACAAGCAAAAAUUUCUUUUGAGAUAACUUCUUCUUCAGCUCCUCUUGAAGCAAAUUUAAAUCACUGUCAUCAGUAGUCUGCUUAGUAAUGGAUCUUAGAAUUGUUUUUGUUAGCCUGAUAACAUCAAAAUCAUCAGAGACACAAGUCCAUGCCUUGAGAUCAAAAUGACCCUGCACUCGAGCAUCAUUAUAGACAAGCUGAGCGAGAGUGGUUUUGCCCAGCCCGCCCAUACCUAUAAUAGGAAUAACAGAGAAUUCACCAUCAUUUCUCAAAUCAUCCCUCAACAGCAAUUCAACAAUUUCAUUCUUUUCUGUUUCCCUCCCAUAUACCUUGGCUUCAGUCACUAAAGAGGUUGUGGGUAGUCUUUGCCUGUCUUUUCUGGACCUCCCAGCUGAACUUACGUUCAAACCGAGCGAGUCUUUCUGUGUUACAAUAUCUUGAAAUCUGUAGUUGAUCUCUUUGAUUUUGGACAUUAUGGCGUAAUCGAACUGAAUCGAUUGUGGGGUAAAAGUGGUGCAGCAAGUAGGAAUGAGCUUCUGAAACUUACUUGUUCUUGUACGACUGCUACUGGGUUGAUCCUGAGCCGCAGCUGGAUCUCCAUUUCCAAGCAGCACCUUCCUCCGGAAAGCCCCAGUUUGAAACUCAUCCAACAAGUCUUCAACAUCAAAAGCCAAGUUCUGAAGCUCGCCAAGCCACAACUUCACAAUCUCAUCAGUCUUCUUUUCCUCAGCAUCAGCAAGCACCGCCUUGACCUUCAAAAGCAUCGUCUUCCACUUCAUUAGAUCGGCCCGGAUUUGAUCUUGGCGUGGAAACAACCGAAUCCCCACUGAAGCUAACUUAUAGACCAACAACUCAACGGACGCCGUCAGGAUUGCCUCUCCGAUGAUUGACAUUUUUUUCUUUUUUUUGUUUUGCAAAGAAAGAAACAGAAUUUUGAGUUUUGAGAAGCAAAAUGAGAAAAUUGAACAGUAAGUGUGGAGGGUCAAGCAAAAUGCGCGUAUCAAGUCUUCCACUUGUUGUUUAUUCCAGUAAAGUGAAAAAAAAAUAGAGACCACGACCCUUUAAUAAUUUAGCAAUUCACCGGUCACGAGUCACCACCACUCGUUACCAUGAAUAUAAUAAAUUGCACCUAGAUAUUUGCAGGGUCCAGCAACAUUGACCCAGUGUCCGGGUAAAUGCUGAAUAACGAGGAAAAUGGAAUGUAUCAACUACGAACCUUCGCUUUACAAGUCUUCAAACUCAUAAACCAAGUUAAAUCAAAACGUUUAUCUCUCUCACCCUUUUUGCCAUAUAAUUACUUUAUUUAUUGAAUUAAUUUCCAUGCUAAAACGAAGACUUAAAAGUGCACUACAAUUUUUUAUAAUCACAAUGGUAAUUCCUACUAUCAUGUUAUCUUAAUGUCGUGUCAAAAUAAAUUAUAAUAAAAUUUUUUUUAUAUGAACAUUUUUUUUAUUUAUGAAUUUCUUAAUUUUUAAUAUUUUUCUUACUCUUUAGUCUUAAUAUUUGUAUUUCUCUCUUCAAACUUUCUUUAUUAUUUAAUUUUUAAAGAAAAAUAUAAAAAAAGUAAGAAAAAUAUUAUACUUAAAAAAUAGUGAAUAUUUUAUGGGUCUAAUACAAGCCUGUAUUAUUUUUGACAAUGAAAGAGCACGCGAAAAAUCUCACUCAUAGAAAACUUUGUGAAAGGCAUUUGAAUGUGUGGCCACAUUUACCGAACGAAACGAUAAGGCUUUAGCCCUAUAAUUGCAAUUAGUUUGUCUUGUAACUAAAUUAUUGCCGACAAGCAGCCAUGCAUGUAAUUAGUCACAAGUUGCUUUGAAAUAAAUAGGUACUUGACAUUUGGCUCACUGAUUAUGUGUGCAAUAUUCCCGUAUUUCCCAUUACUUCCCGUACUUUAUGCAUUAUUGUUUUGUAUGUCUUUCGGUGUUUACGGUGUAGUUAGGGAUGGUAGCGGGUAGGGUCUGGUACGGGUUUGACAUCACCAAACCCGCAUCUACAAAAAAUUUUAAUUACGUAAUUCAAAUUAUAAAUUUAUAAAUAUUGCCUAAAAAAAAAUCACAUAAAAUACUUAAUUCUAGAUUUUAUCAAUGUAAAUGAAAAAUGAAAAUAUCAACAUUAAAAUAAAUACACAAAAUAUAUCAAUUUAACACGAAUUCUCAAAUUCAAUUAGCAAAUAAAUAAGUCUAUCACAACUCGAAGUGUUUUCAACUGAAAAAGAAAAAAAAGAGAAAGAGAAAAAAACAAAGAACUACAAAUCAAAGUAGCACCCAUAACCUAUUUCAUAGGCUCAUUCAACACCAAGAUUCAUUCAUUACCACUAGCACCCAUUCAACGUGGUUUUUCUAAACAAAAUAUAAAGUACAAAAUUACAAUAAGCAUAUCAUACUCCAUGCUUUAAGUUAAAGAUCCUUAUAUAAUUUUAUGAAUAAAUUUUUAGUGAAAUUUUAUGAUUAAAAUUAAAAAUACAAAUAUUAAAAUAAGAAUGUUGGACAUCUGCGCAACUAUUUGCUAUUUUUUUUUCUCUAUAAAAAUUCACCUGCAACUUACAGCAGAUUUAAAUUUAUAAUAUCAAACUUGAUUGUAGCUUGCAAAAUUUUUGGAUGUACGAUAAUUUUGCCACCCUAAGUGUAGUUAGUGUGUUUCCAAUUGGCUCCUAUAAAAAGCCUAGAAGUUGUUUGAAUAAUGAGGGAGGCAAAUAUUUCCCAAAGAUAUUCUCUUUUUCAAAUUCUUUUCUUUUCUCUAUUAUUGUAACUUCAAAUCCUUGAAAUUACAUAUUUCAAAUCCUUGACAUGAACACAAUGUUUUGACAUAGUGGCUUUUGGCUUGUCCAGAGAAAUUUAGGAUAGAUUUUGAUGUAUUAAGGCUCGUUUUACUAUUGAGAUUUUGGAACUUUUGAGCUACACUUGAAAUUUGUAUUAUUCUAAUAGAGUUGUACCCUUCGAUAUGUGAAUGGUAUUAAUCAGGUGUUAUGUUUACAGCAGUUAAAGGCAUAUUGAAUCAAAGUCCACUUUUGAUUGAGAUUUUAAAGUAGGUUUUUAAUUUGAUAGCUACUCAAGUUCAAAUAUUGGAACCACAGUGCUUUAUAACCAAGUGGGAGAACUUCUGUCCUGAAAGUUGAAGGCUGCAUACCGAGUUUUACUACCAACAAAAAUUGGUGUUAAGACUUUAGUUGCCCUCCUACUUAUAGAUAAGGGUAAUUAGGACUUUACAUCCCCUCCUGCUAAUAGAUAGGGGUUACUAGGAAUAUUAAAAAAAUGUUCAAAUAUUGAAAAAAUAGGUAUGGGUUAUAAAAUUCAUAAUACAAGAACAGUAAAUCAAGAUAAAAUUUAAAAAUUUAGAACCAUGAAAGCGUAACUUGUAAGUUUCAAAGAAGCAUGUGAAAACAUAUGCGUAUCGAUACCCAUUAAGGGUGGGCAUUAAGAUCGGGUUAACUCGAACCGAACCUUAAAUUUAUUUUGGGUUCAAUUUGAUUUUGGUUGAACCUUUCAACUGAGUUGAAAACUUAUAAACGAUUGGGGUNNNNNNNNNNNNNNNNNNNNNNNNNNNNNNNNNNNNNNNNNNNNNNNNNNNNNNNNNNNNNNNNNNNNNNNNNNNNNNNNNNNNNNNNNNNNNNNNNNNNNNNNNNNNNNNNNNNNNNNNNNNNNNNNNNNNNNNNNNNNNNNNNNNNNNNNNNNNNNNNNNNNNNNNNNNNNNNNNNNNNNNNNNNNNNNNNNNNNNNNNNNNNNNNNNNNNNNNNNNNNNNNNNNNNNNNNNNNNNNNNNNNNNNNNNNNNNNNNNNNNNNNNNNNNNNNNNNNNNNNNNNNNNNNNNNNNNNNNNNNNNNNNNNNNNNNNNNNNNNNNNNNNNNNNNNNNNNNNNNNNNNNNNNNNNNNNNNNNNNNNNNNNNNNNNNNNNNNNNNNNNNNNNNNNNNNNNNNNNNNNNNNNNNNNNNNNNNNNNNNNNNNNNNNNNNNNNNNNNNNNNNNNNNNNNNNNNNNNNNNNNNNNNNNNNNNNNNNNNNNNNNNNNNNNNNNNNNNNNNNNNNNNNNNNNNNNNNNNNNNNNNNNNNNNNNNNNNNNNNNNNNNNNNNNNNNNNNNNNNNNNNNNNNNNNNNNNNNNNNNNAGAUAUCAAAAUCACAUUCUUCAAUUCUACAAUUUCAAUUCAUCUUCAUAACUUCAACUGAAGAAUUGAUUGUAUCUCGUUUUAAUUUUUUUUUAUGUAAAGAUAAAUAUAAAAUAUAAAUGGUGAGGAGACUGAAAAAGUAAAAUCAAAAGAAGAGCACGAGUUUUAUUGAAAAUUACUUUUUUUUCAUCAUUUUGCCAGAGUGAAUGUAUCUACAUUUAAACGAAAGAAGCACAUUUGUUUGUAUUAGCUUUUUUAUUGUAUUUUUAAUAAUAAGUAAUUUUCAAUUAACUUAUAUCAUUUUUUACGAAAAUAAUAGGUGUUAGUUAGUUGAUUCAAAUGGCAAGACCUCUUGGGAUAGAGUUUGUAAUUUAGUGGCUUAUCAAUUGUUUAAAUAGGGCAUUAUUAGAGCCAAAUUAUUGUAUUUGGUUAAAAAACUCCUACUUUGCUUACAACUUUAUUAUCCUAUUAUGUUUAUUAAUAAAUAACAAUUUUAUUGAAAAAAAAACAAGAUAUGUUGAAAUGAUACAAAAAAUUUGGGUUGUAAAUCUUACUCGAAUUUAGCUUGAGAUUGGCAUUGUUAGCAUAAUAUUUGAAGAUAUAUUUUUUAAAUUAAAAAAAAAAAGAAAUUGGGUUCACACUAGUUAGUUUUAACUCAUAGUGAGAUUUAAACAAAAUCGGAAUAAUAAAUCUUGAUAUCCUAACUCAUGGAUAACAUCUACAUAAAAUAAUAAAAUCUAUUGUGUCGAAAAUAAGGGGUCUAAAGUUUGAAUUUCACUCACAUAGGUAGCAAGAGAAUCAAAUUAUUGUUAGAUUAAAUUAAUUAAAAAAAUUAUCUGAUAUACAAAACACAGCAUAUCAAAAAAAUUGAAAUAAAAGAAAAUUGAAAAGCAAAACGAUUGAGAGAACGAAAAACUAACACAAGAAAAUGCCGAUAAUUAAUUGCCUCAGCGGGCACCAACUUAAUUAUGCUUAUUAAAGCCUGGUUUAUUGUUAGAGUGCAAUUUAUGCACUAGUUUUGCAUUAUUUACUUCCCUUAAUAUCAAUGUUUUGCACUUAAUAAUAGUGAUUUACUUGUGUUUUACUUUUGUAGGUGCAAUUCUAUUAAUUGGUGAUAAAAUUAAGCUAAAAGAUGAUGUUUAAGGAGGAUUGUUCUCUUGGAGAAAUUAUGAGCGUCGAAGAACUUUGUUGAUAAGGCAUGGGCACGUGCUGUCAACUGCGGACCUGCAGUUUUUAGUUUAAACGUGUUUUGUAUUUUUGGCUAUUUUUGUAAUUACGAAUUUAAUAUUUCAGAUAUUAGUAUUUUAUUUUAAAUAGAACUCUAAAAGAGAAGAGAGAGAGAGAGUAUUUAAGAGAGGAAUCUAUUGUGAAAAAUGUAUUUACGCUUUAAUUUUUAUGUGAGCUUUGAUUAUCUUACAUUAGGGACAAUGUAAGUUCUUGGUGUGGGGGAGGGAUUUUUGCAUUAUUGAUGUCUGGAAGUAUUAUUUUCACUCUACUCAUCUAUUUUCAUUCUACUCAUCCUUAAAUGAUUUUGGAGUUAGUAUGCUUCAUAUAUUAUUAAUUUUCUUUUCUUUUCUUUCUCACUACUCUUUUCCCAUCUAUUUUUUUUACUACAUACAUCUUUCUCGCUUAUUAUCCUUUUUACCUUUCCUUUUAUUUCUCACUCAUACCUUCUUCUCAUUCUAUACCACUAUUGAUGGUUGAUUCAUUUGAAGAGUGUACAUGAUUUGAUAACAAAUUUACCAACUUUGUGAGGAUUUGAGCCUAUGAGCAACCACUUUGCUCUAAUAUUUUUGUUAUGUGAAUAUCAAUCUUAGUUUUUUUAUUCUAGAACUUGCUUUGUUAUGCAUGUUGAAGCCGCAUUACGGGAUUUUAUGCAUUAAAAUGAUAAGGGCAAACCCUUUUCCAUUUUUCUAUUCUCGCAUUUUUUUUCUCUACCCGAAGACCUUUAUUUGCUAUCUUUGUUUGAGCCUUAACCAUUACCCAUCUAAUCCUCUCCGUCUACUUAACCAUUUUUCUUCUUUUUGAGCCUCAAUUUAAGGAGAUUUUUGGACUCAUUGUGUGGAUAUAUUUUGUGUUUUUUUUACCUUGUAUUAAAGUUUCUCAAUUAGAUCAACAAGCAUUAUGCUUGAAUUAAAUUGUGCAAGGUUCGUUUCUUUUGUUUGAUUAAAAAAAACAAAAAAUAAAAAACAAAAAAAAGGAAAAAGAAAAAAAAGAAAAAGAAAAAAAAUCGAAAAAAAAUCGAAAAAAAAAAUUAAAAGUUUACAUUCUUGGUGACUUGAGUAGAAAUAAGCAUUUUGAUAUCAUAAGUUCAUUCAAUGAGUUCAUUCUUCUCAUUUUGAUAUCUUUUUCUCUUUCAUGGACCUUUCUUUUUCAUUUAACCUAUUUAACCCCAUUGCAACCCUUUUAAGACCCUUAGAUUUUUGCAUUUUAUUCAUGUUGUGGAUUGAGAUGUGAUAUAUGAGCAAGCUUAUGGUAAUAGCAUUCUUUGAUUUGAUUUGAGUGAAUAAAUGACACCCUAAACACUUUGAGUGCAUGGAGUGAAGUCAUUGAGAGGGCUAUUAAAUCUUGUUGCACUUGAAUUUUGAAUGUAUCUUCUUGGUGGUUGAAUGUUCUUAUUCUAUCUUAUGAGAUUCUAUGCUUUAAAAUCCUUGUCUCUCGAAUGUUGAUCGACUUAAUUUCUUGAGGUAUGGUUGCUUAGAAUUAUUUAUGGAUGAGUUGAGAUGAGAAUUGAGUGGAGAUUUGGGAUUAGUCUUGAGUUAUAUGCUUGAGGACAAGCAUCAUCUUGGUGUGGGGGAAUUUGUUAGAGUGCAAUUUAUGCACUAGUUUUUAAUUAUUUACUUCCCUUAAUAUCGAUGUUUUGCACUUAAUAAUAGUGAUUUACUUGUGUUUUACUUUUGUAGGUGCAAUUCUAUUGAUUGGUGAUAAAAUUGAGCUAAAAGAUGAUGUUUAAGGAGGAUUGUUCUCUUGGAGAAAUUAUGAGCAUCAGAAGAACUUUGUUGAUAAGGCGUGGGCGCGUGCUGUCAACUGCGGACCUGCAGUUUUUAGUUUAAACGUGUUUUGUAUUUUUGGCUAUUUUUGUAAUUACGAAUUUAAUAUUUCAGAUAUUAGUAUUUUAUUUUAAAUAGAACUCUAAAAGAGAAGAGAGAGAGAGAGUAUUUAAGAGAGGAAUCUAUUGUGAAAAAAAUGGGGAUUUUAGAUUGAAGAAAAGAAAGAAACCCUAGAUCUAAUUUUUCUCUUCUCUCUAUGAAGAACUAAACUUAUUUUUCUGGUUGAAGGUUAAUGAAGCUUUGAUUCAUCACUACUGUGAGAUCUUUCUUAUGCUUUAAUUGUUUUAUUACUCUUUGGGUAUUUGUUUAUUCUCUGAAUUAGUUUCAUGAUUAUGUUUGUUAAUUAGGUAAUUGGCCACUAUUUAAUUAUCAACUUAAUCUAUUGUCAAUUAAAGGAUUCAUCGUAUGAAGAAUUUAAUGUUUGUGACAAAUAACAUAGCAGAGAGUUGUGUUGUGAGAAUAAACAAUCUAAUUUAAAUGAAUCAUCAUAUGUGUUGAUUAGGAUUUGGGUCUCUUUGGUUUUUCAGGCUGUCAAUUGAUUAAAUCCUAUGAUCGUAUCUAGGAUUGUCUAUUGAUUAGGGAAAUAACCAACGGUCGUACCUUGGUUAUCGACUAGUUAAGGAGAGAUUGGCUAUUAGAGGGUCUCAGUAGUUAUAACCGGUCUAUUCAUAAGUAAUAAUAAUCUAUAUUUGAAUCAAUGAUCAGUAGUCGAAUCAAGCUGAGUUAAUUCCUUCAACCAGAGCUUUCUCCAAUUUGAAUCACAACUUUAAUUUACAUUCUCGUUAUUUUAAUUUAAUUUUUAUUAUUGUCAACAAAACCCCCAUUUUAUGUUUUACGUUUUAAAAGGAUUUAAAUAAUUACCGAUCUCUGUGGACACGACCCUGCUCAAUCACUAUACACAAUUUAUUUAGAGUAAAAAUUUAUUUUUGUUGGCUUCGACACCCACCAGUUAUUUCAUUUUCAUUGAUAAUCAUUUUGACACCGGUCAAAUUUAAAAGUUUAAAUAAUGGGGGCCAUUUUUCUUUCCAGCUAUGCCCAUUAGCUAAUAAAAGAACCGCCGAAAGGGUUCGGGGAUAAUAUAGUAAUAUGAUUGAUAAUCAUUUUGGAGCUGAGUAUUCUUCGUUCCACAUUUUGGGUUUUGGUUGACCAUAUUUUAAUACUUUUUCUGGAAAACAAAUAUAUAUUUAGUGACUUGUAAUGGGUGCAACUCAUGUUUUUGAAACAUUAACAUCUUUACUUACUUACACUAAUGCGGCAACUGCUGCUUGCUUUUUUUUUUUUCCUUUUGCUUUUGGUUAAUAAUAAUAAUAAUAAUAAUAAUAAUAAUAAUAAUAAUAAUAAUAAUAAUAAUAAUAAUAAUAAUAAUAACAACUUUUUAAUUUAAUAUAUUAUUAAAUAAUAUUUUUAUUUUUAUUUUUACAUUAUAAUUUAUUAUAACUAAUAAUAAAUAUUUAAUUUUGAAUAAUAUUAAUUUAAAAUUAAUAAUAUUAUAAAUAAUAAUAUAAACUAUUAAUACAAUUUAAAUAUAUCAAUAUAAUAUAAUAUUUAAUUUAAAUUAAUCACAAAAAAUUAAUACAAUAUAUUAUAAUACCAAAUAUUAUACAAUAUUACUAUAAUACAAUUAUGAUACAAUUUGAGGGAGAUUGUCAGCUUUUUCGGAUUAAAAAUAAUAUAUACCACUUACUCUAUUGUUUUUAUAAUGUUCAACAAUCCCCUUGAGAAAAAAAAAAAACGAAAAGAAGGAAUAAAUAGAUGAUUUGCUUGAUAUUGUAUCUUAGAAAUAUAAAAUAUAUAUUUAUUAUUAAAAGUAUUUAAAAAUAAUAAAGAGUACAUAAAAAAUAUCUUAUCCUCAACAACAAGAUCAGACGACGUCAAUUCAGCAAAAUGACUUGUACAAUUUGAAAGUCCAGCAACGGUCACCUCUUAAUGUUAUUUUUACUAUAUUAUAUUGAUAUUUUGUUUUGUUAAUCAUAUAAGUCAAUCAAUAAUUAUUUAAUCAUUAGAAUUAAAACUAAUGUAUUAAUUAAAAUUCAAAAUCUAUUAUAAAAAUAGUAAAUAUUAAUACAAAGAGAUGGACAUAUUACAAAAUACAUUCACCAAAAGUUCUAUUAUACUUAAAAUUCUCAUUCACAAAAAAAUAAUAAUAGUUGAAUACAUGUACAAAAAAAGGGGAUAAAUAAAAAAUAAUAAUAAUAAAUAAUAAAAGGAUAGUUUAUAUAAUAAAAAAUAAAUUUAUUGAAUAGGGAUGUUAAUAAUAAAGAAUAAUAGCCGAUCAAACUCACUUUACAAUAAACUGAGAAAUCAAAAUCACAUUCUCCGAUUCUACGAUUGACUCUUUUUCAUCAUUUUACUGGAGUGAAUGUAUCUAUAUGUAUUGGGGACCAUAAUGGAAACUGAUAGAACCUACAAGGGCUAAAAUUAGAACAACGAACGAUAUCUCAAAGUCGCCGAAACGUAAGUAAUUAAUCUUAUCUUUCAAUUGAUUUUUUGUGGAGACAGAGACAAACCCGAACAGCAAAUAGCCAUAAAUGAUAGGACAAUUAAAUUGGAACUCUCCGCGGACCCACGAUUUAAUAUCUUUAGAUUGUAACGGUUUAACCAAAAAAAAAACAAUUUUAGUAAAAUAUUUCUUAAAAAAUGAAAAAAAAUGUUGAAAAGAAGAACAAAAUUGUGGUCCACGUGUCAUUUCAAAAUAGGUUGCUGGCAUAAACAACCGUCCCCAUCUCGGACAGAUGUUAUUUGAGUGGUUGGUGCGCGUUUCCACUUUUUUGUUUUAGAUGCAACGACUCAUGCACUAUAUAUAUAUAUAUAUACGUAAUUUCUAUCUUAUAUAUGUAUAAGAUACAUUCUUUAUCUUUUAUCUCCCUUAUAGAAUAAUAUAUGUGUGGAAUUUAUAUAUAUUGUUCAUAUGAAAAAAAUAUAUCUUAUAUGCAUGAUAGAAUAAUCCAUGAAUCUAAUGUUAUUAGUUUAAAUAAUGGGUGCAACUCAUGUUUUUGAAACAUUAAGAUCUUUAGUCAUUCUGUUACUAUCCCGUGGUUAUUUAAGUUACAAGAGACAGUAAAAAAACAACGUCAUAUUUUAAUUACUUACACUAAAUAAAUUACUCACACUGAUGCCGCGUCUGCCGCUUACUUUUUUUCUUUUUUUUUAUCCUUUUGCUUUUGUUUUUAACUUUUACUUUUACUUUUUGACUUUUGCUUUUGGUUUAUUAUAAUAAUAAUAAUAAUAAUAAUAAUAACUAUUUUUUAAUUUAAUAUAAUAUUAAAUAAUAUUUUAUUUUUAAUUUUACAUUAUAAUUAUUAAUAUAUAAUUUAUUAUUCAAUAUUAUUAUAUUAUGUUUUUUAUUUUUAAUUAUAAUUUAUUAAUAAAUUUAUAAUUUAUUAUAACUAAUAAUAAAUAUUUAAAUUUAAAUAAUAUUAAUUUAAAAUUAAUAAUAAUAUAAAAUAUUAAUACAAUUUAAAUAUAAAUUAAUAUUUAAUUUAAAUUAAUCACAAAAAAUUAAUACAAUAUAGUAUAGCACCAAAUAUUAUAUAUUAUUAUUAUAAUACAGUACUAAUACAACAUAAUAUAAUAUAAUACAUUAAUAUUAAAAUAAUAUAAUACAGUAUGCGAAAUGAACCGAAAUGGUAUUACUUUGUUUGUCUUGUUAUUUACAAUUAUUUAAUCUGUAGACCCACUCAUGCUCCUUCUAUGCAACAUAGAUACAAUUUGAGGAAGAUUAUCAAUUUUUUCUGAGAAAAAAUAAUAUAUACCACUUACUCUUUAUUGUUUUUAUAAUGUUCAACAAUCCGUUUGAGAUGAAAAUAAAUAAAUAAAAAGAAGGAGUAAAUAGACGAUUUGCUUGAUGUUGUAUCUUAGAAAUAUAAAAUAUAUAUUUAUUAUUAAAAAUAUUUAAAAAUAAUAGAGAGUUCAUAAAAAAUAUCUUAUCCUCAACAACAAGAUCAGACGACGUCAAUUCAGCAAAAUGACUUGAACAAUUUGAAAGUCCAGCGACGGUCACCUCUUGGCACACAUACGGCAACGUGUGUAGCAUUGGCAAGAGGUCUCCCAGAAGGACGAUUAAGGAAAGAUUGCAAGACAAAAUCAUGAAAAUAGUAGUACAGAUAUGCAAUAUGCUAAAUUGUCCUCGAUUGAGUCAAUCGCAAUCAAGUCUUAGAAAUCGCACCCCUGUAUUAAUUUCCAGAAAUAUGUUUGUUCCAUAUUUAUCGUGCACGUAUACAUUGUAUGUAUUGGGAAUAGAAAGAGUGUAUGAAAAAAAAUUCUUCAUUCAUCGAUUAAAACUUAAAUUAUGUACGAGGGUUAAGCGCAGCGUUUUUAAAUUUAAAAAGCACAAGUGUCAAUCCACUAAGGUUUGGUCCAAUGGCUAGAGUCACUCCCUCGCGAAAUGAUUAGAGCUCCCACAAAUGUAUUGUACAAGUUUAAUUUAAAUUUUCUUCCUCAAAACUUAAGUGAAGACAUUAUUUUUCAUAGAAGUAGAGUUUUUCUAGGAGUUUGACAUCCCUCAAAUAUUAAAAGAAUUAAAAUCUGAACGAUACUAUAUAAAAUAUAAUUUAAACUGAUCUUAAUAAUUAUAUAAUUAUAAAUAUAAUGAGCAACAGUCUCGUUAAAAAAACAGAUCAAGUGUCAUGAGCCCAUUUAAAUUAACUAAUAUUUGAGGGGGAAAUCUCUGUAUACCAUAGUAUAUAUUCUAUAUCCAGUCAUGGGACCCAUACACGGAUGGUUCCACGUAAUUCGCAGAGUUGAACUGGAGACACUGAUUAGUUCGUUGUCUACUUACCAACUUAUGUACAACUAAGUAAUUGCAUGCACCAUUUGCGACUUAUCUAUCCACCCUGCUUGCAUUGCAUUAACUACGUCACCAAUCACCCACGUCCGCUACUUGUGUGAACGUGUAUAUAAAUACAUAUAUCCGCAGCAUAUUAUCAAACCAGAAUCAGAAGCAACUUAAGUUUUGUUCAUUAGGUUUAUGUUUAUCAACAUGAUAUAUUGUCAAUCAUAAUCGCAAUCAAGUUGUUAAUUAUUUUUUAAAUAAUGUGAAGGAACAAGAUUUUGGCCUUUGAGUGUCUGGUUAAAAAUAUCUCACCUCAAUGUACGGUGUUGUGCUCUCAUCAUCGUACUAUUAUUUGUUAAAAGUAUGUCAAAGAGGAAAGCAGAUUCAAACAUUACUUCAAUUUUAUUUAAGAGAAUAAAAAAAUCGUUAAUAGGCUACUGUUAUUUGUUAGUACGAUUUCACAAAAAAAUCGGUUUCUUAAACAACUCCAACUACAAUUUUUUUUUUACAAAUUUUUGAAUUAUUAAAUCAUAUGUGUGUGUAUAAAUUGAAUAGAAUUAAAAGUGGACUCAAAUGGCUAUUAUGUAAUUUUUUUAUAAUUAAAGAAAAGUUUAGAAUGUAAAAGUGUGUGUGAGAAAACAAAAAAUAUAAAUCACCUUUGAUGUAGUUGUACGGUUGUAAAGAGUUAGAUGGAGAAAUAUAGUAUAUAAUUAAAUUUAUUUUGUUCCUUAAAACGGGUAGGUUUUAUAAGAAUUUUCCAGAGGAGUGCUAAUAUUUCAACUUUUUUUCAAAUGAAGUGAUGUCCUGGAAUAAAAUCACUACUCUAUCAUUGCUAUUAGUUUGUCUUGUAUUUCAAUAAUUGUCGACAAGUAUUAAUUGUGAAUAUUAUUGUUUUAAAAAUUUUAUUAUUAUUAUCGUCGUUAUUCUUAACAGUAAUGACUAGAAUUAUAAUAAAAACAAUAACGUUAAUACAAUAAUAUAACAACAUAAUAAUAUUUUAAUUGAGAGGAUAAGAAUGAAAUUAUGAAAUUUAGGUUGGGUAAAAAUGAUGAGUAUGAGGAAAUUAAAUUACCAUUUUUUAAGCUAAACAAUUCAUAAAUUCCACAUAUUUCAUUCGUAUUUCUCUUAUAUUUUAACAAGUAAACAUUAUCAAUAAUUUUAAUAUUUUAAUUAAUAAACACGGCGUUAACUACGGAACUAAAAGAUCAAAAAAAAAAAAAAAAACAGAGACGCGUGUAUGUAUUGCUUGUGACAAAUCUCACCCGUGGAAAACUUUGUGAAAGGCAUUUGAAUGUGAGGCCACAUUUAAUGAACGAAACGAUAACUUUAAAAGAGAGUAUGUACUGUGUUAAUUAUUAGGCUUUAGCUUAAUGAUUGCAAUUAGUUUGUCUUGUAAUUAAAUUAUUGCCGACAAACACUAUCACGACCCACGUCCGCUACUUGUGUGAGUGCGUGUAUAAAUAUCCGCAGCAUAUUAUCAAACCUGAAGCGUACUAAUAAAGUAUUGGUUCCACUACAAUAGAGUCUCCUUAAGUGGUUUUGAUUGGGUUUGCUCCUCAGUUCGAGUCGCAGAAAAGUCACCUUUGUUGGGAGAACCUGUGCCUCUCAGUUCGAGCGGGGAUUUCUAGUCUGGAUUGUGAUACAGGCUUAAAGGUGCCUCCCACAGUUGGGGCCCUCCCCAGAAUACCUCGUUGUCAAAACCAAAAAAAAAAAAAAAAUCAAACCUGAAGCGUGAUCAUCUUUAAGUUUUGGUUAGGGUUGAUCAGACGUUGGAAGAUAUCUUUCCUAAUUUAAAGAAGAUGGAAACUCCUUAUCCAGGUUCUUAGGCCAUGUUCAGUUGAAUGUCAUUUAUAAUUUUUAUUUUAACAUUAUGUAUUUAUGAAUACAAUUAUUGUUUAUUUUAACAUUAUGUAUUUAUGAAUACAAUUAUUGUUAUGAUUUUUUCAGGUAAGAAUGGGUGGUCUGAGGGUAACCCAAUAACUAUGUACAAUAUUAUUAAUGAUGAGAGUGUGAAUGACAAUUUGGAUUUUAUUCUCGUCCCUCAAUACAGAAGAAAUCUUGACCAUAGCGGUUAAUUGCUAUGUAACUCUUUCGUAUUAUGUUUAAUUAAUAAUAAAAUGAUGGGUUAUUAUUACCUGUCAAUUAUGUGAGUGUCUCUGCUUGAUUUAGUUCACUUAUAAAAUAUCUUAAGAUAUACAAGAGAUUUUCUUUAUUUACUUUCAUGUACCGCGUCUUCUUGUAAAAAGAAACUAAUAAAAAAAUAUCAUUGUGUGCAAUGUAUUGACUAAGUUAGUGUAUUCAUGUUAGCUUAAUUGUGCUCUCUCUUCUUGAUUUUUUUGUUUUUUUUGGUUAAAACAAACUCCACAUAUUGUUGGUUAGCUAAUUCUUGCAGCUAGCAAGUGAUCCUUUUCUUUCCCCUACUGCCUGCCGUAGCAUCAAAUCCUGACAAUUAUAUAUCAAGUGGUAUUCGAGCCGUCAAAUGAUCCUUGGAAACACGCAACAAAUCAAAUGCUGAAUUUUGCCAAGAGAUUCACGAAAUCCUUGCUAGACAUGUCUUUUGUCCAGUUUAUUUCAAACUACGCGAGCAAUGUUCCCGUUACUGUUUAGUAUGUCUUUUGUUGUUUGCAAUGUAGUUAGGGAUGUUAGCGGGUAGGGUUUGGUACGGAUUUGACAUUACCAAAAGCCGGAUCUGUAAAAAAAAUUUAAUUAUCAAAUUCAUUGUGGGUUUUAUUUAUUCAUUUUUUUCCUCUUAACAAAGCCCAUCAGCUGCGGGUUUGAAUGGUACCUAGUGUAUAUUUUUGUGAGUUCCCACGUAUAAAAUCACACUUGCAACAAAACCUAAAAGUUAAAAUUAUGUAAUUCAAAUUAUAAAUUUAUAAUCGUAGCCUAAAAAACCACAUAAAAUACUUAAUUUUAGAUUUUAUUAAUGUAAAUGAGAAAUGAAAGUAAAACAUUAAAAUAAAUACACAAAAUAUAUCAAUUUAACAAAAAUUUUAAAUUUUAAUUACCAAAUACAUAAGUCUAUCGCAACUUAAAGUGCUUUCAAUUGAAAACGAAAAAAGAGAAAGAGAAAAAAAAAGAACUACAAAUCAAAGUAGCACCCGUGACCCAUUUCCCAGUCUCAUUCAAUACCACUAGCACCCAUCCAACGUGAUUUUUCUAAACAAAGUAUAAAGUACAAAAUUACAAUAAGCAUAUCAUACUCCAUGCUUUAAGUUAAAGAUCCUUAUAUAUUUUUAUGAAUAAUUUUUUCAUGAAAUUUUAUGAUUAAAAUUAAAAAUACAAACAUUCAAAUAAGAAUGUCGGACACUUGCGCAACUAUUUACCAAAAUUUUUCUCUAUAAAAAUCGACCUGCAACUUUCAAUAGGUUUAAAUUUAUAAUAUCAAACCUAAUUGCAGCUCGCAAAAAUUAUCUGUUGCGGCCAAGACUUUGGAUUUGCGAUGAUUUUGCCACCCUAAGUGUAGUUAGUAUUGUAUAUCAUGUGGCUCUUAUAAAAAGCCUAGAAGUUGUUUGAAUAAUGGGGGAGACACAUAUCUCCCAAAGAUUUUCUCUUUUUCAAAUUAUUAUUUCUUCUCUAUUAUUGUAACUUCGAAUCCUUAUAAAUUACAGAUUGGAGACAUGAACACAAUGUUUUGACAUAGUGGACUUUUGACUUAUCCAGAGAAAUUUAGGAUAGAUUUUUAUACACUAAGGUUCUAUUUACUAUUGAGGUUUUAGAACUUUUAAGCCACACUAGAAAUUUGUAUUGUUUUGAUUGGUAUUGAAUCAAAGGCAUAUUGAAUCAAAUAUUGUUUACAAUAGUUAAAGGCAUAUUGAAUCAAAAUCCACUUCUAAGGGUUUGAUUGAGUGAUUGUAAAGUAGGUUUUUAGUUUGCUAGCCACUCAAGUUCAAAUAUUGGAACCACAGAGCCUUAUAGCCAAGUGAGAGAACUUGUGCCCUAAAAAUUGAGGGGUGCAUAUCGAGUUUUACCACCAAUAAAAGUUGGUGUUAAAACUUUAAUUUCCCUCCUAUUGUGGAUAGGGGUAAUUAGGAGUUUACAUCCCCUCCUAUUAAUAGAUAGGGGUUAUUAGGAAUAUUAAAAAAAAGUUCAAAUAUUGAAAAUAUAGGUAUGGGUUAUAAAAUUCAUAAUAUAAAGACACAAAAUCAAGAUAAAGAUUUAAAAAUUUAGAACCAUGAGAGCGUGACUUGUAAGUUUCAAAAAAGUAUGUGUAAAUAUAUGCAUUAUUGAUGCCCCAAUUAAGGGUGGGCAUUAAGAAAAAAAAAUCCCAAAAAAUUAAAACUAACCCUAACUAAAAUAUUCGACCGCGGCCUCCUCGUUUUCUUUUCUUCUUCUUCCUCCUCUUGCUCACCCUCAAUGCCCAUUCAUGGAAAUCCAACAGCUCCAAACGCGUUUCAGCCGCUCGCACGUGUGAGAAUUUUUCCUUCUCAUGGGAUUAUUCUUCGCUUGCAUGCCAGCAGAAUAUUCAGGCCGAGGAUUUUUCCGGGCCUAGCCCAACUAUAAGCUCUCCCAAAACCCAAUCAUAAAGUUCAUAACGUUUAGCGUUUGCUAUUACUAUAAUUUUUUUUAACCAAUUUUCACAUUCAUCAACAAAGGCUGACAGAUUUUGCAGAAAAUAAAAUUAAAUAAAAGUACAAGCUCACGAAAUUCCUUUUCCGAUGUGGGAAUCUAUCUACACCUUUCACGUGCCUUUUUUUUUUUGGUUUAUCACAUGUUGAAGUUAAACAGUUGAAGUUAGUGAUGCAAGUUGAAGUUAGUGAUGCAAGUUGAAAGUUGAAAGUUGCAAAAGACUUGGUUGUGAUUUCUCCAAAGGAGAUUUUGAAAAUUUGUUCUGUUGAUUGCAGGUGGAUGAGUCUGUGACCAAGCUGGACUGCCGUGUGCCUCCAGUCCUCAAGCAAGUCCCUGCCCAAGCUCUCUCCGCGGCUCAAAUGGCUCCAGUAGUGGCACGAUCCGUGGCUUCUGAAGUGAAGACUGCCGGUGUAGCCGGCACCGCCUCAGGAAUGGCAAAAUCCGUUUACACCAAGUACGAGCCAGCAGCCAAGGAACUUUACUCCAAGUAAGAACCAAAAGCGGAGCAAUAUGCUGUAUCAGCUUGGCGCAAGCUCAAUCAGAUGCCACUAUUCCCUCAAGUAGCUCAAGUUGUUGUGCCAACUGCUGCCUAUUGUUCCGAAAAAUACAACCAAACAGUGGUGAGCGCUGCAGAGAAGGGGUACAAGGUCUCCUCAUAUUUGCCUUUGGUCCCUACUGAGAGGAUUGCUAAGGUGUUCAGCAACGAGGUUGUUGAAUCGCAGCCUCUGGCUUCUGCUGGACGUGAAGCUGAUGUUGCUGUGUAUUGAUAGCUGUGUUUUCUGUUUUCUGGCCUCACAAUUUUUCUUGCAAGCUGUGGAGUGAAAAUGUUUUCCUUUCUGGAUAUGGGUAUUGGGUUGAAAAUGGAGUGGAUUACGAUUAUUUAAUUUUUAAAGACAUUGCUUAAUUCUGUGGCGUCAGCAUAAUACUUUCUGUUUUUGACUUUUCUUCUGUGUUUAGAUUUUUAGUUCAUUGCUCUUAAUAGUGUUAAAAGUUGGUCACUUUCCUAAAGAAACUCUAAUGAAGGAAAUGAACUUUGGAAUUAAAGUAGAAAUUAUAUGAAAUAUUAAAUUUUAAUUAAAAUAAAAAAUAUAUUAAAAACAUCGUAAAGCAAAAAUUGAGCCAGCUAGAUCCAUUAAGAGUGGCUGGCCCAACCCAACGUCCCAACCCAACAUAACACAAUCACCAGAACUUGUGCUGAGUAUGAUUGUUAAUAUUAUAGCGUGUUUACUAAUAUCAUUCAAAUGUAAUAGUAAUGUAUAAUUAAACAAAAUCAAAAGUCUAUGAUUCCGCUAAUUUGGGGCUAGGGUUUUUCCUUUUCCCAUCCCUUGACUUAAUGAUUUUUAAAAAAUGAAAAUAAAACCCGCACGACAUGACGGGUUCAGUUCCGAUUUGGAUCAAAUUAAGUCCAGUUCGUUAUUGUGAAAUCGUAAUAAACAAAUAAAUUGGGGGCUGAAAAAUCUGGUCGGAAUUUCAAUUUGUAUUAAUUAAUUGACUUUUUGAAUUGCUUUCCAAUAAAAUUAAGCUAUGUUCAAGUGUUUGUAUUUUGGUAAAUUGUGCUGCAUCUAUUUUGCUCAUGUGAUUGUUAAUUUAUUUUGUUUUUCUAGGUUUUGUGGGUAUGAUUGUUAAUUUAUUUUGUUUUUCUGAGUUUUGUUCAUAUGAUUGUUAAUUGAUUUUGUUUGUUCUUUUCUUUACGUGCUGUAAUUUCAUUUUCCGUUGGGGUAAAUUCAAGAAUUAUGAUUUAUGAGUCUAAAUUGUUUUGAACGUAUAAUAUGCGAGGGUUCUGCCUACAAUUACUUUGGCUAGUGUGUCAACUGCAGGCUCUGUGGAGGGUAAGGUAAAAUAGUUUAUGAAUAAAUUGAAAAAUUGGUGAUAUAGGUGGUUACGGCUGAAAUUGUAGAAGAGUUUUAUUCAAUUUCUACCUAGUAAAUGUGAUAUUUACAAUCUCAGCAGAUGAGAGAGUAAGCUUUGCUAUUCAAUACAUGUUUCAUUAAUUCACUUGGGUAUUGAAACCCCGAAGCUUUUUUUUUUUUUUUGAGCAAAGGGAACCUUAUUCGGACUGUUCAACUAAGAAAAAAUGAUACAAGGAAAUGAAAUUAAGUGCCAUGAGGCAUCAGUGCCUACCUCAAUGCUUUCUUCUAUAUGUAACAUUUCUAAUACAUAGUAUGUACAUGAGUGAAAACCUUUGAAGUAAAUAAAUAUAUGUUUACUCUAUCAAAAUUGGACUUCCCUGCAAAUGCAAUCCCAUGAUUGACAAAAAAUGGCCAGCAUCGCUGUGGUGCCAUGUCUGAAAUUUGCUAAAACAACUCGGAGACGGCAUGGGGCACAAGAAGAGAGUUCUUAAGUUCCAAAAUUGUCUACGAUCAAGUGUUGGGAUGGUGAAUGCUUUCACCAUUUAUGCAACUGAGCGGUGAUACUUUUCACCACAGGAUAAUAUUCUGUGUGCACGUGCUUUUUAGCUUUCUCUGAACCAGGUUGCUCAAGCCACUCAUCAUACAAGCUUUUCACCAGAGAAUUUUUGAAAGGAUCAGCUACCAUUACAUUUUCCAAAUAUAUGGUUUCCAGUGUCUUAAUCAACUCCUUCGGUGAUUGCCCUGGCUUAGGCUUGACCUGACGUCCACCAUUCAUGCAACCUGAAGGGCAUGCCAUGAUCUCCACAAAGUGAUAAUCACAUUUUCGCAUUUUCACUCUCCUGACAAUGUUUUGCAGGUUCUGGAAGCCAUAACAUAGGGCAAAUUUCAACAACGUUUUUCCCUCCACUUCCAGAGCCACCUCUCGGAAAUCAGAGUUUCUGAUGGUUUUAAAUUCUAGACGACCUUCAAUAACUUUUCCAAAUAGUGUUUUAGCAGCAUGUCUGAAUACUGUUUCUGCAUAACCACCAGAACUUCCAGCGACCCCAUAAAGAUGUCCUUCAUCAUCAACAUUGGUCAAGAUAAUGCCCCAUAAUAUAGAAUAUCCAACAAUAAAACAUGCAUGAAAAUAAAUGCAAGUAAAUCGAGAUUAUGAAAAUCAUUCACCCACAAAAUGAGAGUGCCACAAUGAAUACCCAAAGCAGGCCACCAACAAAAUUUAAAACAAAAGUAAUUCGUGUAAAAUAUUAAUGGAGCCAAGCAAAGAAAACACAAGAAAUAAGAGUUUUGUUAUUUUACCUGUAGCACUAGGGUGCCAACUCUAACGUCUCCAACUAAAACAAUAAUACAUUUAUUGGUGGAAAAGGCAGAACGUUCAAGACCUUCGUAGCUAGUUUCAAUGGCAAGGGGAACGCUUGCAACCUCAACUCCAUACAUCAGUUUGUUAUUUGUUUAAACACAUAAGUCGUAAAAAUAUUUUCAACUUACUACAUGUGUUUUUUUACUAAGCAGUUGUUCCCCUCCAGGUGACUGGACAUAAACUCUAUUUAAUUUUUUAUAUAUUUUAUAUUUUGAAAAUUUGAUUUAUUGUAGACAAACAAGGGAGUUUGACAUAAUAAAUUCUUAAUUCUUAAUAUAAGGUAUGACAAAAUGAUAUUUUCAUUUAUUCUAGACAAAUUAAAUUUUGUCACAAUAAAUAUUAAUCCAUCAUAAAAUUAAAGGGAAAAUAAUGAUAAUUUAUAUAAUUAAUCUUUUCGGCAAUAAAUCUAAAUAAAAAAUGGUGAAAAGAAUUUAUUAAAUUUUAUUUACUACUAAGGGUGGAUCCAUAACCUUAGCCAUUUUUAGCAAAAGUAAAAUAAACAAAUAAAUAUUUUUUUGUGUAUCGACCUCGAACUCACCGAACUAUAAUAUAACAAGACACUCUUAUACUUGAGAGUUAAAAAUUACUUUUAAGUUGUGUCACCUAGAAGACUCUCUGUGUGUUAUUAUAUUAGGAGAAUUAUAUGCUUUCUACUUAAUAAAUUAAGAUUUACAAUAAAAUAUACUGACUAAAAGGGAUGCAUAUAUCCAACACAAUUUCUUUCGAACACUAAAAUUAUUAUUUUUUAUUUCACACUUAUUACUUUAAACUCUUAUACGAAACAAAUAAGGGCUACUAAAUAACAUGUCAGAUAAUUUUAUUACUUCUUUAAUUAUUACAAUUUAAUUCGGGCUUCUUCUGUAACAAACUAUACAACUCAUACUUUCUAUUACUUACAACAAAUAAAAUAGAGUGUCGAAUAUAUUUUUCUCUUUCUUUUUUAUUGUUUGAACUUAUCUUUCAUCUCAAUUAAGCCGCUAUUUCUUGGUUGAUGAUUUACUAUUUUUAAAUUUAUUGUUGUUAUUAUUACGCAAAUUAUCAUCACGCAAAUUAACAUGUACCAAUUUUUCCAUUUUCCAAUUGCAUAUAUAUUUACUAAAUGCUUCGGUACCGAUGUAAAGCAUCUCCUCAUACUGUCGUCAUCUUAUUUCUUCAAAUUAAUUAAAUCUAACAUGUAAUUUCAUUCCUGUAAAUUUACUUUAAUCUCAUCGCAUACAUUACAUUAUUUUUUAUUUUAAUAAAUAAUUUCUGCUAUAAUUAUCCUAUUACUUAAUUUUGAAAUUGUCAACAAUGAAUAUUAACCUACAUUAAUAGAUUAUGGGACAUUCUCCUAUCAAAUUACUGUUUUCUAAGGAACUAUCUUUUAUGCCUUCUAACGUAACCCUUUUAUCUUCCCUGAUGAACAUAAGAUUCGAAAGUCCUGUAACAUAUUUAGGUACGAGGCAGCAAUUUCACCUUCUAAUUUGAAAAGGAAACUGUAUUAUUCUUACUUUAAAUAACCCUUCAUACCUUAUUGAUGGGUAGAGAGACAUUUUGCAUCCCGUGCGUUACAAUUUUCUUAUUGAUGCCGACAUUCGUGCGAUUCACAUCUCGGUGUCCGAUUGAUAUUGUUUAUCGCCUCCAGCCGGCCGGGGGGGGGGGGGGGGGGUGCAUCUGUCACUAUACAACAUAAUCAGGCCUUCAUUCUUCUCAUCCGCCGCCAAUAUCGUUCAUCUUUGUUCUUUACCACAUGUUCUUGUUCAUUUAAUUUGGAUAUGUUGGUCCACAUCCCCCUGCACACGAAGGUUCACUUUUACGGGUGUUCGCGUCUCAGAUUUUGCGGAUUGCACAUCAAUCCAUAUAUUUUUAAUUCAAUAUAUACUAUUUCUCCUGAUUUCAUGAGUUUUUCCAGAUUUAGAGACUUAAAUCCUUUUCCAAUCCAUCUAAUACGGAAUUUUUUAAUUAUGCUAAUUUAUUAGGGUCUUAUUCUGUAACAAACUAUAAAACUCAUAGUUUCUAUACUUACAACAAACAAUUGAGACUGUCAUAAAAAAUAGUUAAAAUAGAGUGUCGAAGAUAUUUUUCUCUUUCUUUUUUCCUCUUUUAAUUGAUCAAUCAUCUCAAAAAAGCCUCCAUUUCUUGGUUGAUGAUUUACUAUUUUUAAAAUUAUUAUUAUUACACAAAUUAUCGUCGUCGUCGUCGUCAUAAUUAUAAUAUUAACCAUUACUAGUUUUAUUAUUAUUGUUGUUGUUAUUCAAAUUUGGAAAUGACAUGGCCUAUUAUUUAAACUCUAAGGAUAAAAUUAAAAUUACAUAUUAUUCAGGUUAAAUGGAAUUUUUCCCUUUUUUUCCCCACCAAUUACUUUUGCAAUGCAUUGCCUGAUCAUUUUUUUAUUAUUUAUUUAUUUAUUAUUAUUAUUAUUAUUAUUAUUAUUAUUAUUACACGCUACAUAAUUUUUCUUCACAUUUUUUUUAUAUGGUUUUCAUUUACUCAACUCAUACGCAAAUUUCCCACAAAAUCGAAUUAUACACUAACUCAACUGUAAAUUCAUGCCAGGCUACUUUUAAAAUUACAGUUGAUAUUUCGCAUUUUUUUUCCCACCAAGCACGCAAUUCAUUACCUUAAAUCCACUUCCAAAUGUUUUCGUCACUAUUUUCGAAAUUUUCAAAUCAUUCUAACCCCAACCCAUACUUGCACGCUUCCAACUUCUUGCUUUUAACCAAUACUUGCAUGCACUUUUUUUAAUUAUUUUACAUGCGUUACUGUUACAACUUCCAACUACUACAGGCGUUUUUUUGGUCAAAAAGUUGAUUCCCUGCAGUGUUACCGGCCCAUUACCUUUAUCUCAGGUUACUCUCUUGCGUCUGUGUGUCUCUUCUGCAGCCACGAGAUGAAAUCUAACGGUGACCAUGCUACAAGACAAACGACUUGGGUACGAAACCCAUGACGCAAAGUAGCUGCGGCCUAAAUCAGGUAGGAAAAAUAAAAAGUUAAUUAUUGAGUUGUAAUGGUGCAACUAAGGUUUUGAAACAUUAAGAUCUUUAGCCAUUAUGUUACUAUCCCGUAGUUAUUUAAGUUAUAAGAGAUAGUAAAAAAUAACAUCAUGUAAUUAUUUAAGUUAUAAGAGAUAGUAAAAAAUAACAUCAUAUUUUAAUUACUUACACUAAUCCUACAAGUGCUAAUGGUCUAAAGUUGCUGCUGCUUGCACUGAAUCAGUGGUCAUGGGCCAGCCAAGGUUAGGUGAGGCCAACUCAUUAGCUUGAGAAACUUAAAGAAGUCUUAGGUUUGGAAAAGAUGGGGCACAGGUUAUAAAUUUUUUUUGAGUUUUGGAUUGAAGGAACAAAAUUGUUGAUGUCUAGCUCACAAUAUUUGAAGUCACUCUGUGCUUCAUCAUGUAAAAUGGAUUGAAUUGCUGUAAGAUCAAGUCAAAUUAAAAUGUUUAAACUCAUUUUUAAGAAACGAAUUCUCAAUUGGACCAGCCUUUCACAGAAGCUGAUAUCACAGAAGCUUUGAGUCAGAUGCAUCCAACCAAAGCCCCUGGCCCAGAUGGUCUCCCAACAGUAUUUUUCCAAAAGCUUUAGAAUUCAGUAAGCGAAGGAGUUAUAGCCACUUGUCUGCAUAUCCUCAAUGAUGGAAGUAAUAUUGCUCCUUUGAAUCAUACAUACAUUGCUUUAAUCCCCAAGAUAGCAAAACUUAGGACUCUGAUGGAGUAUAGACCAAUCAGCAUAUGUAAUGUAAUUUAUAGGAUCAUUGCAAAGACUAUAGCGAAUAGACUGAAGCUAAUCUUAGAUCAUGUUAUUUCGCCAACUCAGAGUGCUUUUAUGCCAAAUAGGCUUAUAACUAAUAAUAUAAUUAUUGGGCAUGAGUGUCUUCAUAAGUGGACAAAGCUAAGUUCCAGAGGUGAGAUAGGAAAUUCUCCCGCACGACAUAGUAGAAACAAACUUUCCCUUUCAUUUUCUUUCUUCUUUCUCGCUCUCCAAACAGAGCAAAAGGACCGUCGCAAGAUUCUUCACUUCCAUCCAAAAUCAUGAGCAACGAAUAGUGAGCCUCCCUGUUUCCUUCCUUUUUUUGAUAUUAACAUUGUUAACAUAUACUCAUUUUAAUUUGACAAUACUUCAACUUUUUUUUAUUUUUUUGCCUUUUCAUUUUUUUUGUUGAAGCAAUUAUCUGUUCAAGCUGUUGCUUAUCGGAGACUCGUCUGUCGGAAAGUCCUACCUGCUGCUCCGAUUUGCUGUCUGUUGACUUUUCCUUUCCCUUCUUAUUUUCUUUUUUUUAUAUUAAUUACUUUCUAUUUUAGCUUUUUGUUCUCUGAAUUUGUGUUAUUAAAAUGAUAAUUUAGAUGAUAAAUAAUUGUUAUUCUUGUAAAUUUCGAUUUUCAUUACGUUAAUUGUUAGUUUUUAGGUUUAUUAAUGUAAUUUUUUUUUUCAAUUUUUCAGGAUGAUUCUUAUGUCACAGCUACAUCAGUACCAUUGGAGUUGAUUUUGUGAGUCUCUCUUCUAUAUAUAUGUAUAUAUGUGUAUAAGUUAUAAUAUGAGUCUAUGUACGUGUAUGAAUGUAUGUGUAUGUAUAUGUGGAAAGAAAUGUUGGCAGACUUCAGCAUUUUACUCUUUUUUUUUUUUUGGCAGAAAAUAAGAACUGUGGAGCUGGAUGGGAAGACGAUCAAACUGCAGAUUGUGAGUCAAAAUUUCCUUUUAUCUUGUAUUGAGAGAAAUUCGAUUUGUCUUAUUUAGUGAAGGUUAUGUUCAAGAACCUCUUCUUAUUUUCUUUGUUUGAAGAGUGAUAUGUUGAAAUGAGUGUAUUUGUCUUAUAAACAUCAUUUAGGUAAUGUCUGAUGUUUGAUUGUUUUUCAUCUGUUUAGUGGGACACUGCUGGACAGGAGCGAUUCAGGACUAUAACUAGCAAUUAUUACCGAGGAGCCCAUGGAAUCAUAGCAAGGAGCCUUCCCGGUUCUUGGUUUAAAUCAGAAAGUUUGUGAUUUACAUGUGACAUCUUAACAGCAUUGUAUGUGUUUAUUAACUUAUUUUUCAUCUUUCAUUAAGCAGUACAUUUUCCAAUAAAUCUGUAUACAAGAUGAUGUAGUCCAAGAAUGGGAGCCAUAAUAUGAUGCAAAUUGUCUAAUAAAUUCUUAUGACAUAUGAUGUUGUCGGAAGUAAAAGUCUUGCAAUGCUGUAUUCUCUUUUAAGAAAGAAUAAGUGGUAAUUUUUUUUUUCCAAUUUUUUAAUUGAGCAACUGUAUGAGAUUAAUUAAAUGUGUUGGGAUUUCAACAGAUUGUCUAUGAUGUAACUGAGAUGGAGAGCUUCAAUAAUGUCAAGCAGUGGUUGAAUGAGAUUGACAGAUACGCAAAUGACAGUGUAUGCAAACUUCUAGUUGGGAACAAAUGCGAUUUAGUUGAGAACAAGGUUGUGGACACACAGACAGCCAAGGUAUAUUCGUGACUUCUUUCGCCUGAACUUUGAAUAUAAUUUUAAACUCUUCUCAAGUGCAUUUGCUUGAUAAGUUUCUGCAUACCCAGGACACUCAAACUUUGGACAGUGUAUCUCGAGUUGGAAUCUUUUCUGCCAAUACGACUUGUUAAAAUAAUGGUUAUUAUCGUUUGAAUCAUUCAAGAAUUGCAAUAAAUCUAAAGUCCAUAAAAAAUAUGAUUCCAUCAUUUUACUAUUAUAUCUAGACAAAACCCAUUAUUUUACUACAUUUCAUUGGCACCGAUAGUUGACCUGUUGGCUGACUGAUAAAAUCUCAAUUUUGCACUUUACAUUAAUUCUUUUUUGGUUAAAAAAUAACACACAAAGUAUUACAAUAUUAUAAAUUCAAAAUAUAAAGUAGUUACAAAUAAUUCCUAUUAGCCUAUGAAUAUAAUAUUUGAUACCUCUAUUUGUGUAAUUUUUUUUCCAAUGGUGAAAUUGUUAUUUUUUUUGUACUAACGGAAAUGUAGUAAAAUCAUAAGUUUUGUAAAGAUAUAGUAGUAAAAUGAUAGACUAAAAUACUUCUUGUAGUUGUUUGAUAUAUUGUAAUUCUUAAAGUACUCAAUUGAUAAUAUCCCCUAAAAUAAAUGUUCGUAAUAUGUUCUCAUUUUAAUGCAACUGAUUGUUUAAUAAAAUUGUAUUUCUUUGUUAAUCUUUUAUCAUGUGCAUGCUCAGUGAGAAUUUGACUUACUAGAACACAAGUUUGACUCUUCAUUUAAAUGUCUCUUGUAUCAUAUCCUUCAAUGUUGUGUGUGAUUCCAAUAAAAUUGAGUAGGGAGAUCCUUAAAUACCUUUUCCUUUUUUCCAAGGGCCUGUCAAAUUGCUCUAAGUGAUUCUACCCUUUAUCAAUGAAUAAUGAAAAUAAAAUUUUUAUUAAAGCAGUUUUUUCCGUAAAUGGUGACUAAUAGUACCCCUUUUUUUGGAGAGGAAAGUCAAACAUGCCCAAAGAGAAUCAUUUACUUUCCUCUAAUGUAUUUUCUAAUUCGUUUUGACCCUUGAAUGUCUGUUUUGGUGCGUAUUCUCAUUCCAUGUCGAAUCUUAUCCAUAUGGACAACCCCACUUACAAAAAAGUCUAAUGAAUCUAUUGAUGUUCAUAUGAGGUUUGUGCUUUAGAUUUAGACCUCUCUCUCUCUCUCUCUCUCUCUCUCUCUCCACUUACAUGUCUUUCACUUACCUGUUUGCAUGCAUGCCCAUGCACACACUUGCAAGUUAAUACACAGUCACUCGUACUUGUGUUUUGGUUGAGCUACUGGCUGCUAACCUCUGUAAUUCAGUUUGAAACUUGCCC
This 33548-nucleotide long non-coding RNA is filed under the name Citrus x clementina. Its description in RNAcentral is "Citrus clementina (C. clementina) long non-coding RNA (CCLE_LNC002305)". Lineage: Eukaryota; Viridiplantae; Streptophyta; Magnoliopsida; Sapindales; Rutaceae. The record is from RNAcentral.